GGCAGUGUGGCAUAGUGAUUUGAGCACUGGACUGUGAUUCUGGAGACCAGGGUUUGACUCCCAGUUUGGCCA
This is a non-coding RNA of Phrynosoma platyrhinos (Desert horned lizard), 72 nucleotides long. The record is from the annotation of a GenBank genome assembly. Lineage: Eukaryota; Metazoa; Chordata; Lepidosauria; Squamata; Phrynosomatidae.